RNAcentral lists this ribosomal RNA (490 nucleotides) under Ravinia derelicta. RNAcentral's name for it is "partial 16S ribosomal RNA". It matches the Rfam family "Bacterial large subunit ribosomal RNA", at positions 1898 to 2598 of the family's 2925-position model. The record is from RNAcentral. Lineage: Eukaryota; Metazoa; Arthropoda; Insecta; Diptera; Sarcophagidae.
AGUCUACCUGCCCACUGAAUUUAUUUAAAUGGCCGCAGUAUCCUAACUGUGCAAAGGUAGCAUAAUCAUUAGUCUUUUAAUUGAAGGCUGGUAUGAAUGGUUGGACGAGAUAUUAACUGUUUCAUGAAAAUUUAUAAUAGAAUUUUAUUUUUUAGUCAAAAAGCUAAAAUAAAAUUAAAAGACGAGAAGACCCUAUAAAUCUUUAUAUAUAAAUUAUUAGAAUUUUGUAGAUUUUUUUUAUUAUAAUAGUUGAUUAUAUUUUAUUGGGGUGAUAUUAAAAUUUAAUAAACUUUUAAUUGUUUAAAUCAUUAAUUUAUGAAUAAUUGAUCCGUUAAUAACGAUUAAAAAAAUAAGUUACUUUAGGGAUAACAGCGUAAUUUUUUUGGAGAGUUCAUAUCGAUAAAAAAGAUUGCGACCUCGAUGUUGGAUUAAGAUAUAAUUUUAGGUGUAGCCGCUUAAAUUUUAAGUCUGUUCGACUUUUAAAUUCUUA